RNAcentral lists this long non-coding RNA (373 nucleotides) under Physcomitrium patens. RNAcentral describes it as "long non-coding RNA (PPAT_LNC000249)". Lineage: Eukaryota; Viridiplantae; Streptophyta; Bryopsida; Funariales; Funariaceae. The record is from RNAcentral.
CUUGCUUGAGAAUGCUCUAGGUACCUGGCUAACGAAGGAAGAAUGGAAAUUUCAAUAACAAAAUCCUAAUUCUAAUAGAAUACUAACAAUGCUCUAAUUAGACCAUAAUAAUGGUAAGCAAGCUUAAUCAAAUUCAAAAAAAAUUCAACGAAAUUUCAAAUAAAGAAUAAGAAUUCUUAAAGAAAUAUUAGAAGGAUCACAAAUAUCAUUCAAAUACAUCUCAAUUCAAUCUUAAUUUAAUUCUAGUUAAAAUCCUAUUGAACUUCAUUCAAACUUUAGGCCAAAAAUAAUUGAAUCUUAAAUCCUAAUUAAAUCUUAAACCCUAAAUCAAACCCUAAACAAACCUUAAACCAAACUCCAACCAAAUCCUAAA